RNAcentral lists this ribosomal RNA (40 nucleotides) under Phytophthora palmivora. RNAcentral describes it as "partial 28S ribosomal RNA". The record is from RNAcentral. RNAcentral also lists the same sequence under 2 other names. Lineage: Eukaryota; Oomycota; Peronosporomycetes; Peronosporales; Peronosporaceae.
UUGGACCUGAUAUCAGGCAAGAUUACCCGCUGAACUUAAG